This 3169-nucleotide ribosomal RNA is filed under the name Saccharomyces cerevisiae (brewer's yeast). It matches the Rfam family "Bacterial large subunit ribosomal RNA". The record is from RNAcentral. Lineage: Eukaryota; Fungi; Ascomycota; Saccharomycetes; Saccharomycetales; Saccharomycetaceae.
AUAAUCAUGGAGUAUAAUAAUUAAAUUUAAUAAAUUUAAUAUAACUAUUAAUAGAAUUAGGUUACUAAUAAAUUAAUAACAAUUAAUUUUAAAACCUAAAGGUAAACCUUUAUAUUAAUAAUGUUAUUUUUUAUUAUAUUUAUAAUAAGAAUAAUUAUUAAUAAUAAUAAACUAAGUGAACUGAAACAUCUAAGUAACUUAAGGAUAAGAAAUCAACAGAGAUAUUAUGAGUAUUGGUGAGAGAAAAUAAUAAAGGUCUAAUAAGUAUUAUGUGAAAAAAAUGUAAGAAAAUAGGAUAACAAAUUCUAAGACUAAAUACUAUUAAUAAGUAUAGUAAGUACCGUAAGGGAAAGUAUGAAAAUGAUUAUUUUAUAAGCAAUCAUGAAUAUAUUAUAUUAUAUUAAUGAUGUACCUUUUGUAUAAUGGGUCAGCAAGUAAUUAAUAUUAGUAAAACAAUAAGUUAUAAAUAAAUAGAAUAAUAUAUAUAUAUAUAAAAAUAUAUUAAAAUAUUUAAUUAAUAUUAAUUGACCCGAAAGCAAACGAUCUAACUAUGAUAAGAUGGAUAAACGAUCGAACAGGUUGAUGUUGCAAUAUCAUCUGAUUAAUUGUGGUUAGUAGUGAAAGACAAAUCUGGUUUGCAGAUAGCUGGUUUUCUAUGAAAUAUAUGUAAGUAUAGCCUUUAUAAAUAAUAAUUAUUAUAUAAUAUUAUAUUAAUAUUAUAUAAAGAAUGGUACAGCAAUUAAUAUAUAUUAGGGAACUAUUAAAGUUUUAUUAAUAAUAUUAAAUCUCGAAAUAUUUAAUUAUAUAUAAUAAAGAGUCAGAUUAUGUGCGAUAAGGUAAAUAAUCUAAAGGGAAACAGCCCAGAUUAAGAUAUAAAGUUCCUAAUAAAUAAUAAGUGAAAUAAAUAUUAAAAUAUUAUAAUAUAAUCAGUUAAUGGGUUUGACAAUAACCAUUUUUUAAUGAACAUGUAACAAUGCACUGAUUUAUAAUAAAUAAAAAAAAAUAAUAUUUAAAAUCAAAUAUAUAUAUAUUUGUUAAUAGAUAAUAUACGGAUCUUAAUAAUAAAAAUUAUUUAAUUCCUAAUAUGGAAUAUUAUAUUUUUAUAAUAAAAAUAUAAAUACUGAAUAUCUAAAUAUUAUUAUUACUUUUUUUUUUAAUAAUAAUAAUAUGGUAAUAGAACAUUUAAUGAUAAUAUAUAUUAGUUAUUAAUUAAUAUAUGUAUUAAUUAAAUAGAGAAUGCUGACAUGAGUAACGAAAAAAAGGUAUAAACCUUUUCACCUAAAACAUAAGGUUUAACUAUAAAAGUACGGCCCCUAAUUAAAUUAAUAAGAAUAUAAAUAUAUUUAAGAUGGGAUAAUCUAUAUUAAUAAAAAUUUAUCUUAAAAUAUAUAUAUUAUUAAUAAUUAUAUUAAUAAUAUAUAUAAUUAUAUUAUAUAUUUUUUUUUUAUAUAAUAUAAACUAAUAAAGAUCAGGAAAUAAUUAAUGUAUACCGUAAUGUAGACCGACUCAGGUAUGUAAGUAGAGAAUAUGAAGGUGAAUUAGAUAAUUAAAGGGAAGGAACUCGGCAAAGAUAGCUCAUAAGUUAGUCAAUAAAGAGUAAUAAGAACAAAGUUGUACAACUGUUUACUAAAAACACCGCACUUUGCAGAAACGAUAAGUUUAAGUAUAAGGUGUGAACUCUGCUCCAUGCUUAAUAUAUAAAUAAAAUUAUUUAACGAUAAUUUUAUUAAAUUUAGGUAAAUAGCAGCCUUAUUAUGAGGGUUAUAAUGUAGCGAAAUUCCUUGGCCUAUAAUUGAGGUCCCGCAUGAAUGACGUAAUGAUACAACAACUGUCUCCCCUUUAAGCUAAGUGAAAUUGAAAUCGUAGUGAAGAUGCUAUGUACCUUCAGCAAGACGGAAAGACCCUAUGCAGCUUUACUGUAAUUAGAUAGAUCGAAUUAUUGUUUAUUAUAUUCAGCAUAUUAAGUAAUCCUAUUAUUAGGUAAUCGUUUAGAUAUUAAUGAGAUACUUAUUAUAAUAUAAUGAUAAUUCUAAUCUUAUAAAUAAUUAUUAUUAUUAUUAUUAAUAAUAAUAAUAUGCUUUCAAGCAUAGUGAUAAAACAUAUUUAUAUGAUAAUCACUUUACUUAAUAGAUAUAAUUCUUAAGUAAUAUAUAAUAUAUAUUUUAUAUAUAUUAUAUAUAAUAUAAGAGACAAUCUCUAAUUGGUAGUUUUGAUGGGGCGUCAUUAUCAGCAAAAGUAUCUGAAUAAGUCCAUAAAUAAAUAUAUAAAAUUAUUGAAUAAAAAAAAAUAAUAUAUAUUAUAUAUAUUAAUUAUAAAUUGAAAUAUGUUUAUAUAAAUUUAUAUUUAUUGAAUAUAUUUUAGUAAUAGAUAAAAAUAUGUACAGUAAAAUUGUAAGGAAAACAAUAAUAACUUUCUCCUCUCUUGGUGGGGGUUCACACCUAUUUUUAAUAGGUGUUCACCCCUCUUCGGGGUUCCGGUUCCCUUUCGGGUCCCGGAACUUAAAUAAAAAUAAUUAUGGAAAGAAUUAAAUUAAUAUAAUGGUAUAACUGUGCGAUAAUUGUAACACAAACGAGUGAAACAAGUACGUAAGUAUGGCAUAAUGAACAAAUAACACUGAUUGUAAAGGUUAUUGAUAACGAAUAAAAGUUACGCUAGGGAUAACAGGGUAAUAUAACGAAAGAGUAGAUAUUGUAAGUUAUGUUUGCCACCUCGAUGUCGACUCAACAUUUCCUCUUGGUUGUAAAAGCUAAGAAGGGUUUGACUGUUCGUCAAUUAAAAUGUUACGUGAGUUGGGUUAAAUACGAUGUGAAUCAGUAUGGUUCCUAUCUGCUGAAGGAAAUAUUAUCAAAUUAAAUCUCAUUAUUAGUACGCAAGGACCAUAAUGAAUCAACCCAUGGUGUAUCUAUUGAUAAUAAUAUAAUAUAUUUAAUAAAAAUAAUACUUUAUUAAUAUAUUAUCUAUAUUAGUUUAUAUUUUAAUUAUAUAUUAUCAUAGUAGAUAAGCUAAGUUGAUAAUAAAUAAAUAUUGAAUACAUAUUAAAUAUGAAGUUGUUUUAAUAAGAUAAUUAAUCUGAUAAUUUUAUACUAAAAUUAAUAAUUAUAGGUUUUAUAUAUUAUUUAUAAAUAAAUAUAUUAUAAUAAUAAUAAUUAUUAUUAUUAAUAAAAAAUAU